RNAcentral lists this ribosomal RNA (253 nucleotides) under uncultured bacterium. RNAcentral describes it as "partial 16S ribosomal RNA". It matches the Rfam family "Bacterial small subunit ribosomal RNA", at positions 524 to 776 of the family's 1533-position model. The record is from RNAcentral.
UACGUAGGGCGCAAGCGUUGUCCGGAAUUAUUGGGCGUAAAGAGCUCGUAGGCGGCCUGUUGCGUCCGCUGUGAAAGCCCGGGGCUUAACCCCGGGUCUGCAGUGGAUACGGGCAGACUAGAGGUAUGCAGGGGAGAACGGAAUUCCUGGUGUAGCGGUGGAAUGCGCAGAUAUCAGGAGGAACACCGGUGGCGAAGGCGGUUCUCUGGGCAUUACCUGACGCUGAGGAGCGAAAGCAUGGGGAGCGAACAGG